This 468-nucleotide ribosomal RNA is filed under the name uncultured bacterium. Its description in RNAcentral is "partial 16S ribosomal RNA". It matches the Rfam family "Bacterial small subunit ribosomal RNA", at positions 28 to 507 of the family's 1533-position model. The record is from RNAcentral.
GACGAACGCUGGCGGCGUGCUUAACACAUGCAAGUCGAACGGAAAGGCCCUGCUUUUGUGGGGUGCUCGAGUGGCGAACGGGUGAGUAACACGUGAGUAACCUGCCCUUGACUUUGGGAUAACUUCAGGAAACUGGGGCUAAUACCGGAUAGGAGCUCCUGCUGCAGGGUGGGGGUUGGAAAGUUUCGGCGGUUGGGGAUGGAUUCGCGGCUUAUGAGCUUGUUGGUGGGGUAGUGGCUUACCAAGGCUUGGACGGGUAGCCGGCCUGGGAGGGUGACCGGCGACCAGAGGACUACGGGAGGGCGCAGACGCCAACGGGAGGCAGCGGUCGCAAGUAUUACACAGUGAGCGCACGCCUGAGGCGACGGCGCCCCGUUCGUAAUGACGGCCUUCUGGUUAAGAACCGCUUUCGCCUGAGACGAAGCGUGAGUGACGGUAAUGGAUAAAGAAGCACCGGCUAACUACGUG